AUGAGAGGUAAGUUUCAGCAACCGAGUGUCUUAUUUUCAUUGAAAACCAUCGUCCAACAGCGACUCACGAACUGCAUUUCUUUAGAACCUAUGCAGCAGUCCCUUGUCGACAAGGACAACGAUCUGGUGGGAGCACAGAAGGUGGCGAGAGAGAAAACCAAGGCUGCCAAAGAGAAGUUGGCUGCAAUCAAGAAGCUUGAGGAGAACAAAUCGCUAAAGACUGUUGCUGAGGAGGCGAAGAAGGAGAUCGCCGAGCUCAAAAAGCGACAAGCCGAGUGGGAUGACAAGUUCAAGACCCAGGCGAGUGCUUUCGAGCAGGAGAAGAAGACUUUGAACGAGAAGAUCGCUUACCCGAAAAAGGGACUCUCUGGAGAAGUACAUACAGGAUUCUACCGAGGAGAUGCGCGCCAAGCUCGAAGAUAUUUUAUACCGUCCGGGUGA
This 441-nucleotide ribosomal RNA is filed under the name Triticum aestivum (bread wheat). Its description in RNAcentral is "partial small subunit ribosomal RNA". The record is from RNAcentral. Lineage: Eukaryota; Viridiplantae; Streptophyta; Magnoliopsida; Poales; Poaceae.